UCUCUAGACUCUUGAGUUUGGGUGAUGAGAAAGAGUAAUCCUCAUGGUCUUUAAGUUCUGUUUCACAUGAUUACAACACACUCCUGAGACUCAGAUCUGGAUCCAGAGUCAGGAGAAAUUAUAAAACAAAAAUGAACAAGCCAAAGCAAUCCCCAGCUUUUCUGACCUGCAUCCACAACACACAGCACCAAAGGGAUCCCCCAACAGCAACCAAUUUCUUACUCAACCCUCAGGUCCUUAGAAAGCUUUUCAUGAGGCUCAGGGAAUUUGAAAGCAGAUUCUUCAUUAUUGUGAGACUCACUGUGAGUGAUGGGCAGAAAUUAGGUUUCUAAUCAAAAAAACAGCAUUUGUAACCCAAGAGAAGGGAACCAGAGAAUAAGAACAAGACUGUUGCUCAGCCCUCCUCUCCUUGGCAUAGCAUUCAUUAUAAUAAAUGCCAAUAUCCAGUGCCCCAUCUCUACACCAAACUAUAGUGUUCUUCUUGGAGAGCCCUCUCAAUAAGUUAAGUUUUCCAUCUUGAAGGCAGAUAACGGUCAUCUAGCUGACAACUUUCCCUUCCUUAUCUCAACUCUGUCCCUGAAUCUUUUGGAUGGGGACUUGGAGCUCAGUUUCCCAUCAGCAGUUCGACUAUUAUUAGCUUCAAAGGGAACUGAGACUCUACUCAACCCCUGGCCUCAUCAAGGGCAUCUUUGUAGUUCUAUGAGCUGCCAGGUCUCUAGGUUGAGACACAAGACUGGGGAGGCAAGGCGCAGAUGUGUGAGUCCAGGCCCCAGGACCAGCCCCAGGCUGGUUACCCGUAAGGCAGUGUCACAAUGUGCUCCUGGGACACCCGACAGAUGUUUUUUGGAACUGGCACCGAACUCUUCGUGGAACCCCAAACUCAGCCUCCUACCAAACCAUCCGUUUUCAUCAUGAAAAAUGGAACAAAUGUUGCUUGUCUGGUGAAGGAUUUCUAUCCCAAGGAUGUAAAUAUAAAUCUCAAAUCAUCUAAGAAGAUAGUAGAAUUUGACCCUGCUAUAGUCGUCUCCCCCAGCGGGAAGUACAGUGCUGUCAAGCUUGGUCGGUAUGAAGAUCCAAAUUCAGUGAGGUGUUCAGUUCAACACAACGGUGAAAUGGUGUACUCCACUGAGUUUGAAUUGAACACAACUUCAGUUGAUAAUCAAAAUGAAGUGAGUCCUAAAAACAAUUCUAAAACUUCAGAGAGCUGCCAUAAACCAAGAGUGCAUGCUGAGAAGGUGAACACGAUGUCCCUCACAGUGCUAGGACUACGAAUGCUGUUUGCUAAGAGCAUUGCCAUCAAUUUUCUCUUGACUGCCAAGUUAUUUUUCUUCUAAGGCUGACUGGCACGAGGAAGCUGCGCUCCCAGAAGGAAACCAAAAGCUUGCGAAGACGCUGUCUCCUAGGCUUCGGCCUUAUUUAAACUGCUGCUAAUCAAACCAAUUUCCCGUUAAAGGCAACAACCCCACUUCAUUCUUAGCCUGGUAGAAAACAAAAGUCCUGGGAAUGGGAGUUUAUGGUCCUAACUAUUUUACAUGCUGCUUUAUACAGUGACUGAAAGAUAUAAAAAAUAUAUAGGACCUAUUUUAUUUUAUUCCUAUACCUGAUACACUUUGAAAAUGAUCUUUCAUUCCAUUUUUACUUUCUUUAAUUCAACAAAUAGAAAGAGGGGAGCAACAGGUCACCAACUCCAUUCCCCAUGAGGAAAAUAGGCCAGGAGGAGGAAAACUGGUGUCCCUUUACCUACACAGGGAAGACUCUGCUCAGCCCAGCACUAGAUUUAUCCCAAACCAGCAUCCUUGUGUUCCUCUCCUGUGGUUUACUCCACCCUCUAUAUUCACACUAGAGAUUUGACAUGGCAGUAAGGGGUGGAGGGCCAAUUUCAGCACUUUCUGCUUUUCCUGGUACUUUACAAAUGAAAUUACAUUUGACUUCCCUAAUACUCUCUAAGCAGGCAAUGGGGUUUUAAAUUCUCAUCUAAAUACUCUCCAUUCUAUUAGCAAAGAUCAGAGUAAAAUACAAAGGAAAGGCACUUCUUUCUGUUAACUGAUUUAACAUACAUGGACUGACUCCCUCUAAGUCUCAAGCACUGUACUGAAAGAAGAUGAAUAAGAUAUGGGGCCUGCUUUCAAGCAAUUCAUUAUGCAAGUGUGUUUGGAGUGAGGGAUAGGAGUGAGACCUCUAUUUUCCCUGUUUAU
Molecule: non-coding RNA, 2195 nt
Organism: Marmota monax (woodchuck)
Lineage: Eukaryota; Metazoa; Chordata; Mammalia; Rodentia; Sciuridae
Source: the annotation of a RefSeq genome assembly